AGUGAACGCUGGCGGUAGGCUUAACACAUACAAGUCGAACGGCAGCACAGUAAGAGCUUGCUCUUACGUGUGGCGCGUGGCGGAAGGGUGCGGUAUGCUUCGGACUCUAACUUUUCGCGGGGGCUAACGUAGGGUAACUCACGCUAAUACCGCAUACGACCUACGGGUUAAAGCCGCGGAUCUUCGGACAUUGCGCGAUUGAAUGACCCGGUAUCGGAUUGGCUAGUAGGCGGGGUAAAGGCCGACCAAGGCGACGAUCCGUAGCUGGUCUGAGAGGAUGAUCAGGCACAUUGGAACUGAGGCACGGUCCAGACUCCUACGGGAGGCAGCAGUGGGGAAUAUUGGACAAUGGGGGCAAGCCUGAUCCAGACAUAGCGCGUGGGUGAAGAAGGCAUACGGGUUGUGAAACGCUGUUGUUUGGGAAGAAAAGCAGCAGGUUAAUACCCCGCUGUUCUGACGGUACCUAAAGAAUAAGCACCGGCUAACUACGUG
RNAcentral lists this ribosomal RNA (492 nucleotides) under uncultured bacterium. Its description in RNAcentral is "partial 16S ribosomal RNA". It matches the Rfam family "Bacterial small subunit ribosomal RNA", at positions 29 to 507 of the family's 1533-position model. The record is from RNAcentral.